GUGCUCCCUUCAGCAGCACAUAUACUAAAACUGGAACAAUAUAGAGAUUAGCAUGGUCCCUGCACAAGGAUGACAUGCAAAUUGGGGAAGCGCUAAAAGAUAUA
Capra hircus (goat) is the source of this 104-nucleotide small nuclear RNA. The record is from Ensembl. NCBI's taxonomy places the organism in Eukaryota, Metazoa, Chordata, Mammalia, Artiodactyla, Bovidae.